Molecule: ribosomal RNA, 460 nt
Filed under: uncultured bacterium
Lineage: Bacteria
Description: partial 16S ribosomal RNA
Rfam family: Bacterial small subunit ribosomal RNA
Source: RNAcentral
CCUACGGGUGGCUGCAGUGAGGAAUAUUGGUCAAUGGACGAGAGUCUGAACCAGCCAAGUAGCGUGAAGGAUGACUGCCCUAUGGGUUGUAAACUUCUUUUAUAUGGGAAUAAAACGUUCCACGUGUGGGAUUUUGUAUGUACCAUAUGAAUAAGGAUCGGCGAACGCCGUGCCAGCAGCCGCGGUAAUACGGAGGAGCCGAGCGUUAUCCGGAUUUGAUGGGCUUAAAGGGAGCGUAGGUGGAUUGUUAAGUCAGUUGAGAAAGUUUCGGGCUCAACCGUAAAAUUGCAGUUGAAACUGGCAGUCUUGAGUGCGGUAGAGGUGGGCGGAAUUCGUGGUGUAGCGGUGAAAUGCUUAGAUAUCACGAAGAACUCCGAUUGCGAAGGCAGUUCACUGGACUGCAACUGACACUGAGGCUCGAAAGUGUGGGUAUCAAACAGGAUUAGAUACCCGUGUAGUC